UGGGCCCAUAACCCAGAGGUCGA
RNAcentral lists this non-coding RNA (23 nucleotides) under Cricetulus griseus (Chinese hamster). RNAcentral also lists the same sequence under 1 other name. Lineage: Eukaryota; Metazoa; Chordata; Mammalia; Rodentia; Cricetidae. The record is from RNAcentral.